This is a long non-coding RNA of Cavia porcellus (domestic guinea pig), 872 nucleotides long. RefSeq lists it as uncharacterized. NCBI's taxonomy places the organism in Eukaryota, Metazoa, Chordata, Mammalia, Rodentia, Caviidae. The transcript is spliced from 4 exons. The record is from RefSeq and is a predicted model, not a curated record.
UUGUAGAAGUUUCAGUCAAUAAUUGGCUUCCUCCAAGACAGGAUCACAUGGAAGAGGAGAAACAGUUCAUGGUGGGCAGAAGGUAGCAAAGCCACAAUGGAAAACCACAGGUGUUUUUAUAUUUGUAUCUUAUCCAAGAUAUUUAGGGCAUGUAGCACUCACACCCUUAAUCCCAGCUCCCUUGAUCCUAGCAUUACACCAUGAAUCAAUUUUAACAUCAUACACUUGAGAGCCAGCCACCUCUGAAAAAGUCCCACCAAUGGCUUAAAACAAGCUUAGUGGCAGGAAAUCCACACACUGCAUGUGACAGGGACCCAGGUUAGACUUCUCAGCUCCCCUCCCUGUCCUUACAGGUGACACUUUCAGGCAUAUUUGUCUCCAUCUUUAUUCCCACCUCUUCUCAUCCGUCUUCUGAAUAAAGAGUGUUGUCCGUGUCACCUGGAACCACAGUGGGCAGAGCCGCUGGGCCCCCUUACCUGUAGUCUGCUUGUCUGGCACUAAUGAAAGAAAACUGAGAAGGAAGCGCAUCUCCAAGGUGGAGAAGGAGCUGCAGUGCUGGCAGGGUGCCCCCAGAACUGCAAUGUCACCCCAGAGCCAAUGUGAUGAGACAAAGAGCACCUUCAAGGUGUACAACUUUGAUGACAGAGUUGCGUUCACACUGGUUUAUGAGACCUUUGGAUGUCAAGCUACCAACCUGUUCUGUGCUGCCAUUUGAUGAGAUUUAGAAACCAUUUAGCACCUGCAACUAUUGCCAAAUACCCCCACCCACAUGCCAGGUGGCAGUUAUGGCCCAUCCACUGCUCUGGACCCUCCCCUGCAUCCAGUGACAUGAUCUGCCCUGCCCCUGUGGAAGCCUUGGAUCAACCCAAGAA